GUUACAAUCCACGUUUGUUACUUAUAUUGAUGUGGAUGGAAGCAGAUUGCAGAAAGCAUUGCCAUGCAGACUUUUAGUGUGUAGCCUAAAUCAUCCAACUUGGCCAGGUUUUUGAUCUGGGAUCGAAAUUGAAGAAAAUCCUUCUGGAAACAUCGAAUUGAAGAACUUUCUGGAAACCAACGGUUUCUUUGAACCUGAGAUGGCGAGCCACCCAUGCGAGUGAAAUCUUCUGGAGCGAGAGUGCAAACUCUUGACGAUAAGUGAACUGUAUGCUAGAGCAAAUCAUACAGAGAAAGAAGUGAUUGAUCAUUUAUUUUAUUUUGUUUACAUUUCGAAUCUUUUGUAAUUGAAUGGACAUUGAUGGUUUUGAAGACUGGUUAGUUAAUGUAAUCUUUUCUUAUUUUCCUUUUGAAUAUUGUAUAUUCUUUUGUGUACCUUUAAGGGAAAAGGUACAGUAGUGUGGUUUAAACAUAUACAAGGUUCAAUUGAAUAACAAAGCUAAACCAAACAAUCUUAACUUGAAUUAAGAUUAAAAAAAUAAAUAGUAUAUCUAAGUUUAAAAUUAAGUUCUUUAAUUAAUAACUGAUAAGUAAACUAAAAGUAUAAGGUUUAAUAUAAUUCUAAAUUAGGAAAACCAUGGUUAAUAAAUAGGUAUCAAAUUAAGAAAUUCCAAGUCAAUUUACAUUCAUAACCUAACAGAUAAGUAGCAGGAUAUAAAAGAAUAACCACAUUUACUUCAAACAAAUUCAUUGGAUUUAUUAUUUUUCAUACCUUUUGCAAAGUAUUAAGCUGUACUAGAUUUCAGAGUAUCUGUUUUGCUACAGAAAAUAAAUCUUUAUAAUCAUC
Osmerus eperlanus (European smelt) is the source of this 846-nucleotide long non-coding RNA. RefSeq lists it as uncharacterized. The transcript has 2 exons. The record is from RefSeq and is a predicted model, not a curated record. Lineage: Eukaryota; Metazoa; Chordata; Actinopteri; Osmeriformes; Osmeridae.